Molecule: long non-coding RNA, 800 nt
Organism: Symphalangus syndactylus (siamang)
Lineage: Eukaryota; Metazoa; Chordata; Mammalia; Primates; Hylobatidae
Source: RefSeq, a predicted model, not a curated record
GCCUGCGCGGGCGCGGUGCGCCUCUCUGCGCCUGCGCGGGCGCGGUGCGCCUCUCUGCGCCUGCGCGGGCGCGGUGCGCCUCUCUGCGCCUGCGCGGGCGCGGUGCGCCUCUCUGCGCCUGCGCGGGCGCGGUGCGCCUCUCUGCGCCUGCGCGGGCGCGGUGCCUUUGCGAGGACGGAGCUGCGUUCGCCGCAGCACAGACCCAGACGGCAUCGUGAGCUCGGAGCUGCAUUCUCCUCUGCACAGACUCCGGGGUACUGUGAAGGCGGAGCAGCGUUCUUCUCAGCACAGACCUGGGCGUGCGGGCCAGGGGCACCGCGAGGGCGGAGCUGCGUUCUGCUCAGCACAGACCUGGGGGACACUGCAAAGGCGGAGCUCCAUUCUCCUCAGCACAGACGUUGGGGGCCCUAACUCGCUUUGGGACAACUCGGGGCAGCAUCGACGUAUUAUUGGGAGUCAUAUCAUCCUGUGGCCCUGAGGAGAGAAGGCAUUUCUCUUUCUGUCUCCUGUCUCUGAAGAGGAGGAGGAAGUAAAAGUUGAAAACCAAGAAGAUUGAAGUCAGUGGCAAGACCAGCCGCUGCCACUGAUGAGCCGGCCUGAGGUGAAAAGAUGAACCCCCCCUCCCCCACUCUAAGCACAUGUGCUCUGAAUCCAUCGGGACCCUUUCAGGUGGAAACCCUUAGAGUUGUAAGCCCUGAGAAAAGGCCUAGUAAGUCUGUCUUCCUUCGGGGCGCUCGGCUCUUAAGACGCGAGUCUGCCGACGCCUCCGGCCGAUUAAAAGCAACCUCUUCCUUCUUGAA